AGCGAACGCUGGCGGCAUGCCUAACACAUGCAAGUCGAACGAACCUUUCGGGGUUAGUGGCGGACGGGUGAGUAACCCGUGGGAACGUGCCUUUAGGUUCGGAAUAACUCAGGGAAACUUGUGCUAAUACCGAAUGUGCCCUUCGGGGGAAAGAUUUAUCGCCUUUAGAGCGGCCCGCGUCUGAUUAGCUAGUUGGUUGAGGUAAUGGCUCACCAAGGCGACGAUCAGUAGCUGGUCUGAGAGGAUGAUCAGCCACAUUGGGACUGAGACACGGCCCAAACUCCUACGGGAGGCAGCAGUGGGGAAUCUUGCACAAUGGGCGAAAGCCUGACGCAGCCAUGCCGCGUGAAUGAUGAAGGUCUUAGGAUUGUAAAAUUCUUUCACCGGGGACGAUAAUGACGGUACCCGGAGAAGAAGCCCCGGCUAACUUCGUG
RNAcentral lists this ribosomal RNA (434 nucleotides) under uncultured bacterium. RNAcentral's name for it is "partial 16S ribosomal RNA". It matches the Rfam family "Bacterial small subunit ribosomal RNA", at positions 29 to 507 of the family's 1533-position model. The record is from RNAcentral.